AUACGGAGGGUGCAAGCGUUAAUCGGAAUUACUGGGCGUAAAGCGCGCGUAGGCGGUUUUGUAAGUCGGAUGUGAAAGCCCAGGGCUCAACCUUGGAAUUGCAUUCGAAACUGCAUGACUAGAGUAUGGUAGAGGGAAGUGGAAUUCCAGGUGUAGCGGUGAAAUGCGUAGAUAUCUGGAAGAACAUCAGUGGCGAAGGCGACUUCCUGGACCAAUACUGACGCUGAGGUGCGAAAGCGUGGGGAGCAAACAGGAUUAGAAACCCCGGUAGUCC
This 274-nucleotide ribosomal RNA is filed under the name uncultured bacterium. RNAcentral's name for it is "partial 16S ribosomal RNA". It matches the Rfam family "Bacterial small subunit ribosomal RNA", at positions 523 to 796 of the family's 1533-position model. The record is from RNAcentral.